AAGAGUUAGGGUGCUAGACGCCCGACCUCCAACCCUUUGUUUCCAAAACCUCGUUGCCUCGGGGGUGGCCCUGCCCUGAGCGGGCCCCCCGGAGGACCACUAAAACUCUGCAUCUUUAUGACGUCUGAGCGAUUUUUUAAAUAAGUCA
Molecule: unclassified non-coding RNA, 148 nt
Filed under: uncultured Ascomycota
Lineage: Eukaryota; Fungi; Ascomycota
Description: sequence contains ITS1
Source: RNAcentral